AACGGGGAUUAUAUACUGCAAAAAAAUCGUGAAUGUCCGAGUGAUCAUGGCGGUAGCUGCAUGCCUUCUGGUAUGUUGCCGUGGCUCGAUGACGUCCAUCGCAGGGGUGAUGAGUUGAUA
RNAcentral lists this small RNA (120 nucleotides) under Aspergillus clavatus NRRL 1. RNAcentral describes it as "A. fumigatus sRNA Afu_203". It matches the Rfam family "A. fumigatus sRNA Afu_203". The record is from Rfam by way of RNAcentral. Lineage: Eukaryota; Fungi; Ascomycota; Eurotiomycetes; Eurotiales; Aspergillaceae.